Non-coding RNA from Caerostris extrusa, 75 nucleotides. NCBI's taxonomy places the organism in Eukaryota, Metazoa, Arthropoda, Arachnida, Araneae, Araneidae. The record is from the annotation of a GenBank genome assembly.
ACCACCGUGGCACAAUGGCUACGGCAUUCGGCUAUUAACCGAAAGGUUGGUUGUUCGAGACCACCUGGGAGGGCU